GGAAUAUUGGUCAAUGGACGCAAGUCUGAACCAGCUAUGCCGCGUGAAGGAUUAAGGUCCUCUGGAUUGUAAACUUCUUUUAUCUGGGACGAAAAAAGGUCUUUCUAGAUCACUUGACGGUACCAGAUGAAUAAGCACCGGCUAACUCCGUGCCAGCAGCCGCGGUAAUACGGAGGGUGCAAGCGUUAUCCGGAUUCACUGGGUUUAAAGGGUGCGUAGGCGGGCAGGUAAGUCAGUGGUGAAAUCCUGGAGCUCAACUCCAGAACUGCCAUUGAUACUAUCUGUCUUGAAUAUUGUGGAGGUAAGCGGUAUAUGUCAUGUAGCGGUGAAAUGCUUAGAUAUGACAUAGAACACCCAUUGCGAAGGCAGCUUACUACGCAUAUAUUGACGCUGAGGCACGAAAGCGUGGGGAUCAAACAGGAUUAGAUACCCUGGUAGUCCACGCCCUAAACGAUGGAUACUCGACAUACGCGAUACACUGUGUGUGUCUGAGCGAAAGCAUUAAGUAUCCCACCUGGGAAGUACGUUCGCAAGAAUGAAACUCAAAGGAAUUGACGG
This 558-nucleotide ribosomal RNA is filed under the name uncultured bacterium. RNAcentral's name for it is "bacterial SSU rRNA". It matches the Rfam family "Bacterial small subunit ribosomal RNA", at positions 358 to 916 of the family's 1533-position model. The record is from RNAcentral.